ACACGCAUAUGUUCUCCUGACAUAAAAUGAGUAAUUCAGUAAAAUAUUUAACUAAAACAUAGAGUGCAUCAGUUAAUGGUAAGCGCUGUUAUUACCACCUUUAUCUCUGAGGAAUCAAAUAUACUUCAUUUAAGUUCAAUUCAGGCUUUGCUCUGUUAUUUGAAAUGCUUCAGGAAUUAAUUUUCCUACUUGUUCAGUUUGUUGGCUACUUUUCAUUAUAUUUGUUUGUUGUGCUUUAGAAUUUUAAUAUACAGACUCAUCUUCAGUAGGAGAGAGAGAGAGAGGCAGGCUCUCUGGUUCAAAACAAGGCUUAUAUGUAGGCUCUCUUGUUUUUGGCAGUAUUGCAGACCCAGUGUAACAGGGGGCUUGAGCCAGCAGUUCACUCUAUGUUGUCUCAGGUUCCUGUGCUACCUCCAAGACACAGCUUGAUGCAGGACAGGUCACUCCAGAGACAUCACAUCUUCCAGUUAUUUGAAGAAUUGAACUCCAGGCUACUUCUGCUAAAUGACAGAUUCAGAGCCUGGAUCCUAGAGCCCACAGGCUUAGUCCCACCUACCUCUGCGUGUUUGAGAUCACAAAGGCAUUUUUUAUGUAUCAUAUUUGGGUCAUCACUUAUAUAUUUGUAAUAUUGCUGCUGUGGUUUGGAUAUGAUUUAUUUGUCCCCACCAAAACUCAUGUUGAAAUUCGCUCCCCUGAUGUGGUGGUAUUGGAGGGUGGAGC
RNAcentral lists this long non-coding RNA (720 nucleotides) under Pan troglodytes (chimpanzee). Its description in RNAcentral is "long non-coding RNA NONPTRT001499". Lineage: Eukaryota; Metazoa; Chordata; Mammalia; Primates; Hominidae. The record is from RNAcentral.